RNAcentral lists this long non-coding RNA (242 nucleotides) under Brassica rapa (field mustard). RNAcentral's name for it is "long non-coding RNA (BRAP_LNC003254)". Lineage: Eukaryota; Viridiplantae; Streptophyta; Magnoliopsida; Brassicales; Brassicaceae. The record is from RNAcentral.
UUUGUAAUUAUAUACACAUAUAUCCGUUUUUUUGUAAUUGUAUUUGUCUAUUUUAGAUCUUAAUCCGUGCUUCAAGUGUGGGUAUAAUGUUGGUUUCUAUUUUUUUGUUUUUUAUGAAAAUAUGUUACAUUUUCUGCAUUUUUUCUUAUAUGUUAUAAAAUUUUAAUUUAUAUUUUUGUGUAUAAUAUUUUUUAAAAAAAGUAUUAGUAAAAGAUUUUGAGGUAUUGAAUUUUUGAUGUUGC